Small nucleolar RNA from Episyrphus balteatus (marmalade hoverfly), 82 nucleotides. RefSeq annotates it as small nucleolar RNA Me28S-Cm3227. NCBI's taxonomy places the organism in Eukaryota, Metazoa, Arthropoda, Insecta, Diptera, Syrphidae. The transcript has a single exon. The record is from RefSeq and is a predicted model, not a curated record.
AAUUAAAUGAUGAAAAUCUUAAUCUGAAAGAAAGCUAUGCUGAUUUCACACUAAUUAACCAAAAGGAUACUGAAAAUAUAUU